Molecule: long non-coding RNA, 641 nt
Filed under: Trifolium pratense (red clover)
Lineage: Eukaryota; Viridiplantae; Streptophyta; Magnoliopsida; Fabales; Fabaceae
Description: long non-coding RNA (TPRA_LNC003287)
Source: RNAcentral
AAGACAAACCUUGUCCUCAAGGUUGAAGUCAAGAAAAUGGUGUAGAAUAAUAGUAGCAACUUCCACAUGGACAAUAAAACAUCCACUAGGAUCCCAUUGAAUGAAUUGUUUUUCAUGGAAUAAACAAGCAUCACCAAAUUUUUCUAGUUCUUGUACCAAAGCAGAAACGAAACAAGCAGCUCCAUCAAAAUGGUACUCAAUAAUAAAUCCUAGUUUGUACCAUAAUCUUUAUUCAAGUAUGUAAUUAGCUUCUUUAGCAUUUUGUGUAAAGACUUUCUUUAAAAUGAAAAAAUAAGCAACACCACCACCACCCGGAUCCCAUUUCUUGGAGUGCCUUCCGUUUGGUGUCAUUUGCAAAUAUUCAGGCUCUGUUUGGUAACACAAAUAAGCUAGCUUAUAGCUUAUUAUAUGAGCUUAUAAGCUUGUUUCAAAAAAUUAGAGGUGUUUGGUAACAAGCUUUUUGUACUAGCUUAUAGCUUUUUUUCAGAUGCUAUUUCAGCAACACUCAUUGGCAGUACCAUGUUGUAUGCACUACAAGUGGUAGUAAAACCAUUGGUAACUUUGGGGCACAUGAAUCAAGUACUGCAGCCACCCAAACAGAUACAUCAACAAGUUGAACUAUUUGAGGCCAUGGAGAAUUA